AUUGAACGCUGGCGGCAGGCCUAACACAUGCAAGUCGAACGGUAACAGGAAGAAGCUUGCUUCUUUGCUGACGAGUGGCGGACGGGUGAGUAAUGUCUGGGAAACUGCCUGAUGGAGGGGGAUAACUACUGGAAACGGUAGCUAAUACCGCAUAACGUCGCAAGACCAAAGAGGGGGACCUUCGGGCCUCUUGCCAUCGGAUGUGCCCAGAUGGGAUUAGCUAGUAGGUGGGGUAACGGCUCACCUAGGCGACGAUCCCUAGCUGGUCUGAGAGGAUGACCAGCCACACUGGAACUGAGACACGGUCCAGACUCCUACGGGAGGCAGCAGUGGGGAAUAUUGCACAAGGGGCGCAAGCCUGAUGCAGCCAUGCCGCGUGUAUGAAGAAGGCCUUCGGGUUGUAAAGUACUUUCAGCGGGGAGGAAGGGAGUAAAGUUAAUACCUUUGCUCAUUGACGUUACCCGCAGAAGAAGCACCGGCUAACUCCGUG
This 490-nucleotide ribosomal RNA is filed under the name uncultured bacterium. Its description in RNAcentral is "partial 16S ribosomal RNA". It matches the Rfam family "Bacterial small subunit ribosomal RNA", at positions 30 to 507 of the family's 1533-position model. The record is from RNAcentral.